RNAcentral lists this long non-coding RNA (1604 nucleotides) under Equus asinus (donkey). RNAcentral describes it as "lncRNA (ENSEASG00005028149.1)". The record is from RNAcentral. Lineage: Eukaryota; Metazoa; Chordata; Mammalia; Perissodactyla; Equidae.
CAGGCUUCAUCCAGUGUCUCAAAUGAUGUCACCAAGCCCUGGUUUCUCACUGUUUCUUGCGUGGCUCUGCUGUCUUGAUGUUGUCUCAACCCCUUGGCUCUUCCAUCUGGAGGGAAGGUGGCUGUAGCAACUCCAGGUUCAAGUCCAGCAGAAAUGGCUCAAAGUCCUCCCACCGAGUCUUUCUGUCUCUGAUUAGCCUUACCUGGACCAUAUGCUUGUAUCUGACUCAAUCACUGAUGCCAAGAGAGUAUGAUGCUCUUCUUGGCGAAUCCUGGGUCAUAUGCCACCUCUGGAGCUGGAGGUGGAGUCAGACCCACUGGAGCAACAUGCGUUGAGAGUUGGGAGGGUGGGAUCCCAAAUGAUAAUCUGAGGCUGUUACUGGAACUAGGGUAGGGUGAGUGGAUGUUGGGCAGCCAAAAAUUAUCCUGAAUAUAUACUACAGGCUUGGAGUUUCAGUAUAUCGAAGGAUUCUCUGAUCCCAUAUCUUUUCAGCUCCUAGCUGUGUGACCUUGAGCAAAUGACUUACUAUUGGUAAGCCUUAGUAUCUUCUUCUAUAUAUGGUCAUGCAGCACAGAAUGACGUUUCAGUCAACCAUGGACUGCAUAUGCAACAGUGUUCCCGUAAGAUCAGUACCAUAUAGUGCAGGUGUGUAGGAGGCUAUACCAUCCAGGUUUGUGUAAGUACACUCUAUGAUGUUCGCACAACAUCAGAACGUAUCCUCGUUGGUCAGCGACGCAUGACUGUAAUGGGUUAACAUUAACGACCUUGAGAGUAAUGAUGUGUGUAAAGCACCUAACAAGAGUGCCUGUCACGUAUUAGGCAGAGAGUAAAUAGCUAAUGAGAAUAAAUAAUAGCAAAAGAGUCCUGGAAGAAUAUAUACAUUUGGCUAAAGCAUGAGAUAUGGCUGAUAGUGAUGUUCUUUGACUAAUCUCAGUCUGAACUGAUUGAUGUUUAAUCAGUUGAUUAAACGUUUGCUACUUUGUUCAAGAAUCAAGACUCUGUGUAUCUGGUUUAGGGACAGGUUAUUUCUCCAUAGUAUUUUCCUUAGUCUUCGGUUUUGAUUAUUAAUGAAAGAUUAGUUUGUUUUAGAUUUUAUUUUUGAAUUUAUAAUAUGUGGACUAAAUAUCUGAAUUAGAAGGUGCAGAAUGGAUGGAUUAUAAAAAAGGCUUUAGAAAGCAGUGCUAGAUUAUUUUUCUUUUGGAUCUUUGACACCCGUUAAUCACGCAGGUGGUUCUAAAAUCUCACAGCUGGGGUAGCAGUAGGCCAUUUGGGCAGCUGGUAGUUAUUGUAAGGCAAGGUGGAACUAUCAGUUCAUAGUCUCGACCCUUAGAAGCACUUCCGAGGUCCUUGGGGAUACGUGAGAUUAGUGGGUGAGGUUCAAGCUUAGCUCAAGAGACCCGUUGGACUGUGGGGUCAUCCCAAAUCCUGUCUAAGAUUUUAAAAUUUGAAGCUGACCACGGCCAGACAGUAUGUCCUCCAGGUCUGUUCCGGCCCUAGCCUGAACCACAGGGCCGCCCAGUUAACUGUGGAGGUACAAGACCACAAGCACAACUUUGAACAUUUCUGUCAUGAAGCGUUUCCUGAGAAAGUGCGAGCAAGCAUUU